CUCUCAAAAUUAGAAACCUACAUCUUUCAAAUAUUCUCUCUCUAGAAACCUCCAUUAAAGGUGAAGGAUUCAAGAUUCCUAUCUCAAGAUUUCAUAUUUUUCAAGCAAUUUUCGUGGAUUUCAUCCCUAAAAGGUCUGGAAUUUGAGUUUAUUCUCUCUAGAUGAAGCUUGGAUUGAGUUCUUCCAAGACUAUUGGAUAUGACUACAAGAAGGGUUUAUGCAAGUAGGAUGGAAGAGGAGAUUGUGAAUGAGGGAGUUCCUCCCCAAGGUCCUUAAGGUGACCAAGCUCCUCGAGGCAAUCAAGUUCUGGUGGAUUCCUUACCAUGUCCAAUGAAGAAAUUAGGUCGGCUGCUCUAACCUUUGCCCAAGUUAAAAGAAAUGAGGGGCCUCGAGUGAAUACUAAUGAGAGUACUAUGGCUUCGAGAUUAAGGGAUUUUUCUAGGAUGACCCCGCCUCCUGCGAGUGUUUAGGUUUGAAAGGUUUGUAGAUGAGGUCUGUAAGAUAAUUAGUGUCAUAUGGGUGUCUUUGGAGGAGAAGGUGGAGCUACCCGCCUACCAACUAAAAGAUGUAGCUCAAAUUUGGGAUGAACAAUGGAAGGGUGAAGGGCCAAAAGUAUCGGGUCCCAUAAAUUGGGAGGUAUUCGAAGAGGCUUUCCUUGAUAGGUUUUCCCCUUAAAGUUGAGGGAACGACAAUUGGUAGAGUUCAUAAACCUUCGUCAAGGGGGUAUGAGUGUUAAGUAUUAUUCUCUCAAGUUCAACCAACUAUCCAAGUAUGUUCCAACCUUGGUGGCAAGUUAAAGGUCUAAAACGAAUAAGUUUAUGAUGGGAGCAUCCGGUUUGGUGGAAGUAGAAUGUCGUAUGACAAUGAUCCAUCAUGACAUGGAUAUUUCAGGCUCAUGGUAUAUGAUCAACAAAUUGAUUAGAUGAAACUUGAUUUAUUAAAUAAGGAGGCAAAAAGAGUUAGGCUCGUGAACAAAGUCAACCAAGGUCCAAAAAUAGGUUCUACAACCAUGAUUCACCAAUGGUCAAAAAGGAUAGGGGUUCUACUUUUGAAAGAUUUGUAUGUGCCAUGUAAGGGAAGUAAUAUUUGGGAAGUGCCUAGAUAAUACGGAUGGUUUCUUAGGGUAUGGAAAGAAGGGUCAUAAGAUGAGAGAUUGUCUAACACUCAGGGACCAAGGAAGAGAGGCCAAAAAAGCUUCUCUAAAUGAUCUGGACUUUGAUGAUCCAAGGAAAAAUCAUUUCUAUGUACUUCAAGCUAAGGAGGGAAAAUGAGCUCUUCCAGAUGAAGGCACUAGUACGUGAUAGUUCCUUAUAGUUGUGAAGGUUUUUUAAAUGUCCUUAUGUUGUUUUCAUGUUUGCCUUGAUAUGGGUUUACUCCUAAGGGGGAGAUGGUAUGUUGAAUGGUAAGGUUGUUGAGAGCUCCGUAUCAUUAUCUCUUUCCUUUUAUUCCUAUUCAAGCUUGAGACCAACAGUUCCUUGUAGUUUGUUUCAUCUUUCGGAGCCAUGUGUGGUUAUGUGUUUCCAUGGAAUUUGUAUGUAUGCAAGUUCUUGACAAAUUUUUGUUUAAAUAAGAAAAUGAGUUUUAUGAAUUAUAUUCCUCAUGUUGAUAUACAUUUAGUAUGAGUUGUCUAUAUGCUUCAUGAGAUGAAUUGUUGAACAUUCCUAAAUGUGUUUUUGAGAAGAGUUGCAAAAGUUGCUUGAUGAUGCUAUGUUGAACAUGAAUUGAGUUGGAGAAGGUAAUUCCUCCAAUUAAAUGAGAAAUUUUGAGGUUUUCAUGCAUAAUGAGUUUGUAGAUAUAGUUCAUACUUUCUUGUGUUGCAUUGAGCAUGUUUGAGAUAGAUUUGAUGUUUCUUCGUAGUUUUGGGCAUUGUUUAUGAUGUUGCAUGCAUGAUGGUUUUCUAUUCUUGAGUUGUUAUCCAUUAUUGUGUUUCAAGUGUCAUUCAAGGACGAUUGUUCAUAAGGAGGAGAUAAUGUAACGACAUGUAAAACUAGAGCCUAACAAGUUUGGUUCCGAGUUUUUGUGGGUUUGAGGUUGUAAAGUGAUGUCCCGAGCUUCAGUUGAGGAGUUUAGGGGUUAAACAUCAAGGUACGACCCCCCAAGACCAACCAAGGGUCCUUGAGGGUGACCCUAAAGUCUAACCCCCAAUGCUGUCUAGAACCAAAAAGCUGUUAAAAAAUAUCAUGACCUACGGAUGGGACCUACGCCCCGUAAUCCCAUCCACACCCCGUGGGGUUGGUCUGUAGGUCAAGGGACCAAAUGGUGAAUUCCAUCCCCAAACCACGGACCUGCAGGAUAGGGUGUCACCCCCACCUACGGUUCGUAGGUCAUUGGGCAAAAGUCAAUCCUAUAAUUUUCCCCAUUUCAGCCAAGGGUAGGGGUGGUUUGGUAAAUUCCUAAUUAUUUGUUUAGGUGUUUGUGACGGAUAUUAUUGAGUUAUUAAUAUAUUUUAAGGGUUCUUGAUGUACUAAACUCCUUUUUCAACUCAUUAUUUCCCAACUUUUAAUAGUAGAAGCCCACCUCCCUCAAAUAUUCUCUCUCUAGAAACCUCCAAUUGAGGUGAAUGAUUCAAGCUUCCAAGCUCAAGAUUUCAUCUUUUCAAGCAAUUUUCGUGGACUU
Solanum lycopersicum (tomato) is the source of this 2616-nucleotide long non-coding RNA. RefSeq lists it as uncharacterized. The record is from RefSeq and is a predicted model, not a curated record. NCBI's taxonomy places the organism in Eukaryota, Viridiplantae, Streptophyta, Magnoliopsida, Solanales, Solanaceae.